Molecule: ribosomal RNA, 392 nt
Filed under: uncultured bacterium
Lineage: Bacteria
Description: bacterial SSU rRNA
Rfam family: Bacterial small subunit ribosomal RNA
Source: RNAcentral
AUUGAACGCUGGCGGCAGGCCUAACACAUGCAAGUCGAACGGUAACAGGAAGAAGCUUGCUUCUUUGCUGACGAGUGGCGGACGGGUGAGUAAUGUCUGGGAAACUGCCUGAUGGAGGGGGAUAACUACUGGAAACGGUAGCUAAUACCGCAUAACGUCGCAAGACCAAAGAGGGGGACCUUCGGGCCUCUUGCCAUCGGAUGUGCCCAGAUGGGAUUAGCUAGUAGGUGGGGUAACGGCUCACCUAGGCGACGAUCCCUAGCUGGUCUGAGAGGAUGACCAGCCACACUGGAACUGAGACACGGUCCAGACUCCUACGGGAGGCAGCAGUGGGGAAUAUUGCACAAUGGGCGCAAGCCUGAUGCAGCCAUGCCGCGUGUAUGAAGAAGGCC